UACGUAGGGGGCUAGCGUUGUCCGGAAUCAUUGGGCGUAAAGCGCGUGUAGGCGGUCCGGUAAGUCCGCUGUGAAAGUCCAGGGCUCAACCCUGGAAUGCCGGUGGAAACUGUCGAGCUAGAGUCCGGAAGAGGCGAGUGGAAUUCCUGGUGUAGCGGUGAAAUGCGCAGAUAUCAGGAGGAACACCAAUGGCGAAGGCAGCUCGCUGGGACGGUACUGACGCUGAGACGCGAAAGCGUGGGGAGCAAACAGG
This 253-nucleotide ribosomal RNA is filed under the name uncultured bacterium. RNAcentral describes it as "partial 16S ribosomal RNA". It matches the Rfam family "Bacterial small subunit ribosomal RNA", at positions 524 to 776 of the family's 1533-position model. The record is from RNAcentral.